CGCUGGCGGCACGCCUAACACAUGCAAGUCGAGCGCUCUAACCACUUCGGUGGGGACGGGAGCGGCGGACGGGUUAGUAACGCGUGGGAACAUACCCUUUUCUACGGAAUAGCCUCGGGAAACUGAGAGUAAUACCGUAUACGCCCUUCGGGGGAAAGAUUUAUCGGUUAAGGAUUGGCCCGCGUUAGAUUAGUUAGUUGGUGGGGUAACGGCCUACCAAGACGACGAUCUAUAGCUGGUUUGAGAGGAUGAUCAGCAACACUGGGACUGAGACACGGCCCAGACUCCUACGGGAGGCAGCAGUGGGGAAUCUUAGACAAUGGGCGCAAGCCUGAUCUAGCGAUGCCGCGUGAGUGAAGAAGGCCUUAGGGUCGUAAAGCUCUUUCGCCUGUGAUGAUAAUGACAGUAGCAGGUAAAGAAACCCCGGCUAACUCCGUGCCAGCAGCCGCGGUAAUACGGAGGGGGUUAGCGUUGUUCGGAAUUACUGGGCGUAAAGCGUACGUAGGCGGAUUAGUAAGUGAGGGGUGAAAUCCCAGGGCUCAACCCUGGAACUGCCUCUCAUACUGCUAGUCUUGAGAUCGAGAGAGGUGAGUGGAAUUCCGAGUGUAGAGGUGAAAUUCGUAGAUAUUCGGAGGAACAUCAGUGGCGAAGGCGGCUCACUGGCUCGAUACUGACGCUGAGGUACGAAAGUGUGGGGAGCAAACAGGAUUAGAUACCCUGGUAGUCCACACCGUAAACGAUGAAUGCCAGACGUCGGGUAGCUUGCUAUUCGGUGUCACACCUAACGGAUUAAGCAUUCCGCCUGGGGAGUACGGUCGCA
This 820-nucleotide ribosomal RNA is filed under the name uncultured bacterium. Its description in RNAcentral is "bacterial SSU rRNA". It matches the Rfam family "Bacterial small subunit ribosomal RNA", at positions 34 to 890 of the family's 1533-position model. The record is from RNAcentral.